GAGUGGACUCCUACGGGAGGCAGCAGUGGGGAAUUUUGGACAAUGGGCGCAAGCCUGAUCCAGCCAUGCCGCGUGUCUGAAGAAGGCCUUCGGGUUGUAAAGUUCUUUCGGUAGCGAGGAAGGCAUUUAGUUUAAUAGACUAGGUGAUUGACGUUAACUACAGAAGAAGCACCGGCUAACUCCGUGCCAGCAGCCGCGGUAAUACGGAGGGUGCGAGCGUUAAUCGGAAUAACUGGGCGUAAAGGGCACGCAGGCGGUGACUUAAGUGAGGUGUGAAAGCCCCGGGCUUAACCUGGGAAUUGCAUUUCAUACUGGGUCGCUAGAGUACUUUAGGGAGGGGUAGAAUUCCACGUGUAGCGGUGAAAUGCGUAGAGAUGUGGAGGAAUACCGAAGGCGAAGGCAGCCCCUUGGGAAUGUACUGACGCUCAUGUGCGAAAGCGUGGGGAGCAAACAGGAUUAGAUACCCUUGUAGUCCGA
This 477-nucleotide ribosomal RNA is filed under the name uncultured bacterium. RNAcentral's name for it is "bacterial SSU rRNA". It matches the Rfam family "Bacterial small subunit ribosomal RNA", at positions 329 to 798 of the family's 1533-position model. The record is from RNAcentral.